GAUGAACGCUGGCGGCGUGCCUAACACAUGCAAGUCGAGCGGAGAUACUUGAAGGAAGUUUUCGGAUGGAAUUUGAGUAUUUUAGCGGCGGACGGGUGAGUAACGCGUGAGUGACCUGCCUUCCACAGGGGGAUAACGUACCGAAAGGUACACUAAUACCGCAUGAGACCACAGCACUGCCUGGUGCAGGGGUCAAAGGAGCAAUCCGGUGGAAGAUGGACUCGCGUCCGAUUAGAUAGUUGGUGGGGUAACGGCCUACCAAGUCAGCGAUCGGUAGCCGACCUGAGAGGGUGAUCGGCCACAUUGGAACUGAGAGACGGUCCAAACUCCUACGGGAGGCAGCAGUGGGGAAUAUUGGGCAAUGGGGGAAACCCUGACCCAGCGACGCCGGGUGAGGGAAGAAGGUUUUCGGAUUGUAAACCUCUGUUCUUGGUGAAGAGGGAAAGACGGUAGCCAAGGAGGAAGCCCCGGCUAACUACGUGCCAGCAGCCGCCGUAA
This 498-nucleotide ribosomal RNA is filed under the name uncultured bacterium. RNAcentral's name for it is "partial 16S ribosomal RNA". It matches the Rfam family "Bacterial small subunit ribosomal RNA", at positions 28 to 523 of the family's 1533-position model. The record is from RNAcentral.